RNAcentral lists this unclassified non-coding RNA (275 nucleotides) under Hevea brasiliensis (rubber tree). The record is from RNAcentral. Lineage: Eukaryota; Viridiplantae; Streptophyta; Magnoliopsida; Malpighiales; Euphorbiaceae.
AUGGUGCGGCCGCUGAGCGAGGCGGUGUGGGUCUGGAAGUCGCGCUCCUCGCGAAACAGGCGGAAGCGGUUGCGGACUUCCCAGGAAAUCUGCAUCGCCGUCGUGAGUUGCGGGGCAGCCGGCUGUACGAGUGGCGUCGGUGCGACGGGCGGCACGAGCGGCGUCUGCGCCACAGCAGCGCUCACCAUCGCGCCGCCGAGCGCCGCGAUCAGGAGCGAUAAGCGGAUGACGCGCGACUGGAUCAUGUUGGGUUUUGAAGCCGACUGAUAAGGCCA